AGCAGGCGCGUAGCAACCCGUACGCAAAAACGCAGUUGCGUACACAUCGAAAAUUUGACAAAAAUAAAAAUAUGGUAAAUCUAGUUAGAAUAAAACUUAAGUAAUAGAAUUAAUUAUAAAGUGUUAUAAAAAUAUGUUAAUAGUCACUUUGUAACUAUAUUCCGUUCCGGAAACCAGUUUUCUCUUUACAUUUUCGGGACCAGCAUCGUGAUUGUGCUGCUGAUGCAAACAAUUAAAAUAGCUGAGUCCUCGGGGUUUCAGAAUACAAUAAGUGCGUCUACUAUGCCUCCUUACCCUGACAUCUUUUCUGAAGAUUUCAAAAUGACUGAUGAAAUAAAACGUGAUGUUCUAUUAAGGGUAAUAUUUUUGCAACCUAUUCGCCGUUUUUUU
This 390-nucleotide long non-coding RNA is filed under the name Mytilus galloprovincialis (Mediterranean mussel). The record is from RNAcentral. Lineage: Eukaryota; Metazoa; Mollusca; Bivalvia; Mytilida; Mytilidae.